This 611-nucleotide ribosomal RNA is filed under the name Shimia aestuarii. RNAcentral describes it as "bacterial SSU rRNA". It matches the Rfam family "Bacterial small subunit ribosomal RNA", at positions 105 to 751 of the family's 1533-position model. Lineage: Bacteria; Pseudomonadati; Pseudomonadota; Alphaproteobacteria; Rhodobacterales; Roseobacteraceae. The record is from RNAcentral.
GGUUAGUAACGCGUGGGAACAUACCUUUCGGUAAGGAAUAGCCACUGGAAACGGUGAGUAAUACCUUAUACGCCCUUCGGGGGAAAGAUUUAUCGCCGAGAGAUUGGCCCGCGUUAGAUUAGAUAGUUGGUGGGGUAACGGCCUACCAAGUCUACGAUCUAUAGCUGGUUUUAGAGGAUGAUCAGCAACACUGGGACUGAGACACGGCCCAGACUCCUACGGGAGGCAGCAGUGGGGAAUCUUGGACAAUGGGCGCAAGCCUGAUCCAGCCAUGCCGCGUGAGUGAUGAAGGCCUUAGGGUCGUAAAGCUCUUUCGCCAGAGAUGAUAAUGACAGUAUCUGGUAAAGAAACCCCGGCUAACUCCGUGCCAGCAGCCGCGGUAAUACGGAGGGGGUUAGCGUUGUUCGGAAUUACUGGGCGUAAAGCGUACGUAGGCGGACCAUUAAGUUGGGGGUGAAAUCCCGGGGCUCAACCCCGGAACUGCCUCCAAAACUGCUGGUCUUGAGUUCGAGAGAGGUGAGUGGAAUUCCGAGUGUAGAGGUGAAAUUCGUAGAUAUUCGGAGGAACACCAGUGGCGAAGGCGGCUCACUGGCUCGAUACUGACGCCGAGU